UGGGGAAUAUUGGACAAUGGGCGAAAGCCUGAUCCAGCCAUGCCGCGUGUGUGAAGAAGGUCUUCGGAUUGUAAAGCACUUUAAGUUGGGAGGAAGGGCAGUAAGCGAAUACCUUGCUGUUUUGACGUUACCGACAGAAUAAGCACCGGCUAACUCUGUGCCAGCAGCCGCGGUAAUACAGAGGGUGCAAGCGUUAAUCGGAAUUACUGGGCGUAAAGCGCGCGUAGGUGGUUCGUUAAGUUGAAUGUGAAAGCCCCGGGCUCAACCUGGGAACUGGAUCCAAGACUGGCGAGCUAGAGUAGGGCAGAGGGUGGUGGAAUGUCCUGUGUAGCGGUGAAAUGCGUAGAUAUAGGAAGGAACACCAGUGGCGAAGGCGACCACCUGGGCUCAUACUGACACUGAGGUGCGAAAGCGUGGGGAGCAAACAGG
RNAcentral lists this ribosomal RNA (429 nucleotides) under Pseudomonadota bacterium. RNAcentral describes it as "Proteobacteria bacterium partial 16S ribosomal RNA". It matches the Rfam family "Bacterial small subunit ribosomal RNA", at positions 355 to 776 of the family's 1533-position model. Lineage: Bacteria; Pseudomonadati; Pseudomonadota. The record is from RNAcentral.